This 253-nucleotide ribosomal RNA is filed under the name uncultured bacterium. RNAcentral describes it as "partial 16S ribosomal RNA". It matches the Rfam family "Bacterial small subunit ribosomal RNA", at positions 524 to 776 of the family's 1533-position model. The record is from RNAcentral.
UACGAAGGGGGCUAGCGUUGCUCGGAAUGACUGGGCGUAAAGGGCGCGCAGGCGGCUUACCAAGUCAGAUGUGAAAUAACCGGGCUUAACCUAGAAGGGUCAUUUGAAACUGGUAGGCUAGAGUACAGCAGAGGUUAGCGGAAUUCCCGGUGUAGUGGUGAAAUGCGUAGAUAUCGGGAGGAACACCAGAGGCGAAGGCGGCUAACUGGGCUUGUACUGACGCUGAGGCGCGAAGGCUAGGGGAGCAAACAGG